UACAGAGGGUGCAAGCGUUAAUCGGAUUUACUGGGCGUAAAGGGCGCGUAGGUGGUUGCGUAAGUGAGUUGUGAAAUCCCCGGGCUUAACCUGGGAAACUGCAACUUAUACUGCGUAGCUGGAGUGCAAUAGAGGGUAGUGGAAUUUCCGUGUAGCGGUGAAAUGCGUAGAUAUCAGGAGGAACACCGGUGGCGAAGGCGGGUCUCUGGGCCGAUACUGACGCUGAGGAGCGAAAGCGUGGGGAGCGAACAGG
This 253-nucleotide ribosomal RNA is filed under the name uncultured bacterium. Its description in RNAcentral is "partial 16S ribosomal RNA". It matches the Rfam family "Bacterial small subunit ribosomal RNA", at positions 524 to 776 of the family's 1533-position model. The record is from RNAcentral.